Molecule: ribosomal RNA, 253 nt
Filed under: uncultured bacterium
Lineage: Bacteria
Description: partial 16S ribosomal RNA
Rfam family: Bacterial small subunit ribosomal RNA
Source: RNAcentral
UACAGAGGUCCCAAGCGUUGUUCGGAUUCACUGGGCGUAAAGGGUGCGUAGGUGGCGGGGUAAGUUUGAUGUGAAAUCUCCGGGCUUAACCCGGAAACUGCAUUGAAUACUAUCCGGCUAGAGGGUUGGAGGGGGGACUGGAAUACUUGGUGUAGCAGUGAAAUGCGUUGAUAUCAAGUGGAACACCAGUGGCGAAGGCGAGUCCCUGGACAACUCCUGACACUGAGGCACGAAAGCCAGGGGAGCAAACGGG